RNAcentral lists this long non-coding RNA (915 nucleotides) under Homo sapiens (human). RNAcentral describes it as "HSALNT0128433". Lineage: Eukaryota; Metazoa; Chordata; Mammalia; Primates; Hominidae. The record is from RNAcentral.
CUUUGGGCACAGCACAACACAACCAAGUGAGCACUGGAAACCUGGCACCCAUAGGAUAUUGAAAGUUAUCAGGAUAUUCUUCCCACUCCAAGAUCCAGGAAAGUAACACAUCAAUACAGGACAAGGAGAUGCUUCAACAUCAGAAAUGCAUGGGAGAGGUCAUAGGAAAUGAAACAGACUGCUGUUUUCAUGAGAAGCAUUUACAGAGGGAAAUAAGGACACUCACCAAAUAGGGCUAAUUUGAAGAAGGACACAGCUGACUUAGUAGGAAGAAGGCAGAAGAAUUAUCUCCUGGUAAUCAAGACUCUGAAAAUAAGACUUAAGAUAAAAGACUGGAUACAUGCAAGAACAGAGUUCUUAAAGAUCACCAGCUGAAGAUUGUGAUUUUUCAUUCUUCUAUGCCCUAAGACAGCCAUAUUUUACCAUUUGAAACAUAAAUAAAAAUGACUUCCAGGCUUAUUUGAUUACAGACUGAAUUGCUCUAUCAUAGGAUGACAAGCAAUGACAGAUAGGUUCCCCAUAAAGAAAAGUCUGUGAGACUCCAUAUUUCCUGUAAAAGAUGAUAUGAGGAAACCGGGCAGAUUUUUCUUUCAUUCAUACUCUUUUAUAUGGGGGCAAUAGUACUGUCAAUCUCUAUUAUAUCAUUAGGUUACCUGGAAGGUCUUAUGUUUGGCAGUGGAAUGUAAGUUUUAGGGUAAUUUUUCUGAGUGGCAACCCAAGGCCAAUGUAGUAAAUUUUGAAAGAUCAAUUAAAUUACAGAAAAGGCUUGCAUAACAUAAAUGUGUUCUGCCCACUUGUCAACAUGGGUAAAGAUAUUAAUAUUGUAACAAGUGCAAUGACAGAAUUUCAUUUUCAGACUCCAGACUUCUUAACAGUAGCAGUGGCAAGGCAUCAAACCAGUGAGUUUUGCUUCUU